Molecule: ribosomal RNA, 238 nt
Filed under: uncultured bacterium
Lineage: Bacteria
Description: partial 16S ribosomal RNA
Rfam family: Bacterial small subunit ribosomal RNA
Source: RNAcentral
UGGCGGACGGGUGAGUAACGCGUGGGUAACCUGCCUUGUACUGGGGGACAACAGUUGGAAACGACUGCUAAUACCGCAUAAGCGCACAGCUUCGCAUGAAGCGGUGCGAAAAACUCCGGUGGUACAAGAUGGACCCGCGUCUGAUUAGCUGGUUGGUGAGGUAACGGCCCACCAAGGCGACGAUCAGUAGCCGGCCUGAGAGGGUGAACGGCCACAUUGGGACUGAGACACGGCCCAA